Molecule: ribosomal RNA, 704 nt
Filed under: uncultured Bacteroidota bacterium
Lineage: Bacteria; Pseudomonadati; Bacteroidota
Description: bacterial SSU rRNA
Rfam family: Bacterial small subunit ribosomal RNA
Source: RNAcentral
GUACGCAACCUUCCCAGAACUGGUGAAUAGCCCUCCGAAAGGAGGAUUAAUACACCGUAACAUAAUGAAUGGGCAUCCAUUUAUUAUUAUAGUCCCGACGGUUCUGGAUGGGCGUGCGCCUGAUUAUGGUAGUUGGCGGGGUAACGGCCCACCAAGCCUACGAUCAGUAACUGGUGUGAGAGCACGACCAGUCACACGGGCACUGAGACACGGGCCCGACUCCUACGGGAGGCAGCAGUAAGGAAUAUUGGUCAAUGGACGAAAGUCUGAACCAGCCAUGCCGCGUGAAGGAUGAAGGUCCUCUGGAUUGUAAACUUCUUUUAUAUGGGACGAAAAAAGGGAAUUCUUUCUCACUUGACGGUACCAUAGGAAUAAGCACCGGCUAACUCCGUGCCAGCAGCCGCGGUAAUACGGAGGGUGCAAGCGUUAUCCGGAUUCACUGGGUUUAAAGGGUGCGUAGGUGGGUAAGUAAGUCAGCGGUGAAAUCUCCGAGCUUAACUCGGAAACUGCCAUUGAUACUAUUUAUCUUGAAUAUUCUGGAGGUGAGCGGAAUAUGUCAUGUAGCGGUGAAAUGCUUAGAUAUGACAUAGAACACCAAUUGCGAAGGCAGCUCACUACAGAGUCAUUGACGCUGAGGCACGAAAGCGUGGGGAUCAAACAGGAUUAGAUACCCUGGUAGUCCACGCCCUAAACGAUGAUUACUC